This 253-nucleotide ribosomal RNA is filed under the name uncultured bacterium. RNAcentral's name for it is "partial 16S ribosomal RNA". It matches the Rfam family "Bacterial small subunit ribosomal RNA", at positions 524 to 776 of the family's 1533-position model. The record is from RNAcentral.
UACGAAGGGGGCUAGCGUUGCUCGGAAUCACUGGGCGUAAAGGGCGCGUAGGCGGCCGUUCAAGUCGGGGGUGAAAGCCUGUGGCUCAACCACAGAAUUGCCUUCGAUACUGUACGGCUCGAGACCGGAAGAGGUGAGUGGAACUGCGAGUGUAGAGGUGAAAUUCGUAGAUAUUCGCAAGAACACCAGUGGCGAAGGCGGCUUACUGGUCCGGUUCUGACGCUGAGGCGCGAAAGCGUGGGGAGCAAACAGG